Camelus dromedarius (Arabian camel) is the source of this 1595-nucleotide long non-coding RNA. RefSeq lists it as uncharacterized. Lineage: Eukaryota; Metazoa; Chordata; Mammalia; Artiodactyla; Camelidae. The transcript has 4 exons. The record is from RefSeq and is a predicted model, not a curated record.
CCGGCCAAAGUUCCUCGCAAAGUGGCGAGCGAAGGAUCGCUGAGCCCUGGCGUCUGAGCUGGGGAGGAGCGGGGCUGAGCUAGGCUGAGCCGGGCAGGAGAAGGGAGACAGAAAGAAGGGGAGGAGGAUACUCUUCUCAGGGAUUUGAGCUGGGUUCUUCAUCCUGGCCUUUGCGGUCCGUUAAGCAUCCUCACCGUGCCCUGAGAGCGCUCGAGGCGCACAGGCUGCGCCCUCCCAGGGCCGAUGCCGUGUCCUGCUCCGCUGUUCUGGGACGUCGGGGGCAAAAGCGGAGGAGACGGGAGAGCCGGGCAGGAAAAGCAGGACGCGCAUCCCAGAACGUCCGACUUCGCCUGAGCCUCGAGGUUCCCCAAACACGCUUUUGCCGCCUCACCUUCGUACAGAAGUGGAACGCCUACGCACUUCUCCACCUGGAGAAUUUCCUCUUCCCUGGCGAUCAAUCACCGGCUCAGCUUCACCCCUGGCGUGAAAACUUUCCAGACCUAUUCUAUCAAAACAUCAUUUGGGAAACUCUGAAAUGGGGAAAUCAACUGAAUUUUAGAUAUGCAGAAAAGGAAUCUGAAAAAUCAUCGCUGGACCUUCACAAGAAUUUCCGAUGGGGUUUUGUCCGCUUGCAGGUUGAGGAAAGGAUACAAAUGUUUGACUCAUCAACUCGUGUUUAAGGAACAUGAUCUGGGGCAAACCAGUCAAUUUUUCCAGACCUUACUUUGCUCUGGAAAAGAAGAGUGUUGGACAAGAUCAUCUGCGGAUGCGAUCCAGUUCUGCUAAACUCAGCUUCUGGGAUACCUGAGUGAGUUCAGGAGUGAUCCGGUUUCAGGAGUUAAGGCUACAGUGUAAGAAUUUUGCUGUGUUUCUAUCCUCAGCACUAUUUUGCGAGACGUUUGUAAUUUUUUUUCAUACGAUCCCCAACUUAAAGCUACUGCUUCUGAAGCAAGAUCGUGCUUCCUUCCUUUGAUCUCAAAUUGUUUUAAUGUGAGAAUUAUUGUGGCCCACGUAAAACGCUUUGUCAUUUUCUAGCCAAGAGGACAAUUUUGCUUUCUUAUUGCAUAGCUCUUCUCUUUAGGUUUCAUUAUCACAUCAUCUAAGGAAAUUUCUUGUGAAGUUUCAGGAAAUUUUUGUGACAAAAUAUUGACCAUAGGACAAGUGCUGGAGGGUGAAAUCAUUACUGUCUGUUCUUUAUCCACAGUGUGGCAUGACUGAUGGCCAGAAACCACACUAAUACCUUCAUUUGGGGGAUAAUUUACAACUGACAAGGAGGUUUCACAUGAGUUAUUGCAUUGACUCAACAAACCACGCAAGUGACACUUCUCCCUCAUUUCACAAAGCAGGGGCUAAGGUUAAGAUUCGCCCUUGCCCCUUGGCUAGUAAGCAGCAGGGUUUGGCUGUAACCCAAAGAGCCACAGCUGCCCAUGAAAUUAAGAAAGCUGUUUGCAACUUUACCAGGGAAUUGAAAAUGUUGAAACUGGGCCACAGGGCACUUUACAGAAAGAUGAAGGAUGCUUUCUGUGGCACACAUUAUUGCUACCAGCUGAUUCCUGGUUUCUCUCUCCUCUGGACACCCCCCACCCCCACCCAAA